RNAcentral lists this ribosomal RNA (497 nucleotides) under uncultured bacterium. RNAcentral describes it as "partial 16S ribosomal RNA". It matches the Rfam family "Bacterial small subunit ribosomal RNA", at positions 28 to 507 of the family's 1533-position model. The record is from RNAcentral.
GAUGAACGCUGGCGGCGUGCCUAAUACAUGCAAGUCGAGCGAACAGAUGAGGAGCUUGCUCCUCUGACGUUAGCGGCGGACGGGUGAGUAACACGUGGAUAACCUACCUAUAAGACUGGGAUAACUUCGGGAAACCGGAGCUAAUACCGGAUAAUAUAUUUAACCGCAUGGUUCAAUAGUGAAAGACGGUUUUGCUGUCACUUAUAGAUGGAUCCGCGCCGCAUUAGCUAGUUGGUAAGGUAACGGCUUACCAAGGCAACGAUGCGUAGCCGACCUGAGAGGGUGGUCGGCCACACUGGAACUGAGACACGGUCCAGACUCCUACGGGAGGCAGCAGUAGGGAAUCUUCCGCAAUGGGCGAAAGCUUGACGGAGCAACGCCGCGUGAGUGAUGAAGGUCUUCGGAUCGUAAAACUCUGUUAUUAGGGAAGAACAAAUGUGUAAGUAACUAUGCACGUCUUGACGGUACCUAAUCAGAAAGCCACGGCUAACUACGUG